AUGGCCCUCGUGUGGACGACCCGUCCGCCUACCGAAGCAUCGCUGGAGGCCUGCAGUACCUCACCAUCACCCGCCCCGAGCUUGCCUACGCCGUCCAACAGGUCUGCUUGCACAUGCAUGACCCGCGCGAGUGCCACCUCGCUUUGGUCAAGCGUGUGCCGCGGUACGUGCGCGGCAUACGUGCGCGGCACGGCGUCCCUCGGUCUGCAUCUCCGCGCCUCGGCCACACUCGAUGUACGUGCCUUCACCGAUGCUGACUGGGCGGGCUGCCCCGACACACGCCGUUCCACGUCCGGCUUCGUCGUCUACCUCGGCAACGCGCUCGUCUCCUGGUCCUCCAAGCGCCAGGCAACGGUGUCCCGCUCCAGUGUGGAGGCCGAAUACCGUGGCGUCGCCAACGCCAUCGCCGAGUGCGUCUGGCUCCGUCAACUCCUCGGCGAGCUCCUGGCUCCAGUGCACAAGGCCACGCUGGUGUUCUGCGACAACGUGUCCGCCGUCUACCUCUCCGCCAACCCAGUGCACCACCGCCGGACGAAGCACGUGGAGCUCGACAUCCACUUCGUUCGCGAGCGCGUGGCGUUGGGCCAAUUCCGCAUCGUUCACAUCCCCACUCGGCAGCAGCUCGCCGACAUCAUGACCAAAGGCUUGCCCUCGGACGUUUUCUCUGAGUUCAGGUCCAGUCUUUGCGUCGCCGGUGACGACGUCACGACUGCGGGGGGUGUUAGACUAUACUUGUACUCAUUAUCGCAUGUGCUCAUAUCCACUCCUGUACGUAGCACAUACGCUAGGUAG
Molecule: ribosomal RNA, 792 nt
Filed under: Triticum aestivum (bread wheat)
Lineage: Eukaryota; Viridiplantae; Streptophyta; Magnoliopsida; Poales; Poaceae
Description: partial small subunit ribosomal RNA
Source: RNAcentral